GCAAAUGCCUGAAAAAUCAAGGGUUUUCUCUCCCCUGCUAAGGGAGUAGGCGUCUAAAAAGCGCGCGAGGGUUCAAAUCCCUCCUUCUGCG
This 91-nucleotide transfer RNA is filed under the name Caudoviricetes sp. RNAcentral's name for it is "tRNA-Ser". The record is from RNAcentral. Lineage: Duplodnaviria; Heunggongvirae; Uroviricota; Caudoviricetes.